This is a long non-coding RNA of Homo sapiens (human), 438 nucleotides long. Lineage: Eukaryota; Metazoa; Chordata; Mammalia; Primates; Hominidae. The record is from Ensembl.
CAAUUGUAAGGACAUAUCAUACUGUUCAUGUACUGUAUUAGUAAUUAGAGAUUCCUGGAUAGUGAAAGAUCUGCACUGGGAGCUUACUACCGGGGAGCACAUUUUCUCACAGCCGCCUCUAAUCUCCCACGGAAGCUUUCAAACUUCUCAGCAUGCCUUGGUGACGUCUCCAGCAGAGGGUACUCGCUUCAAUCCCCAUGCUGCUGUGGGUGGGCCACAACAACAGAUGACUUUUUAAAUGACAUGCUGUUUCCUGUUCUGCUACUUAUAGUUUCUGAAGAACCAAGUUAUAUAGAAAGAAGAAGAAGGUAAAGGCUGUGAAGGAAAAAGAGAAGAAACUAACUGCAAGUAAAAAAAAUGAAGGCCAUAUAUUUGUUGCUAUGAUCUGAAUGUCUGUGUUCCCUCCUCAAAAUAUAUGUUAAAAUCCUAACCCCUAAA